Molecule: ribosomal RNA, 593 nt
Filed under: Bacillus sp. CH325a_11C
Lineage: Bacteria; Bacillati; Bacillota; Bacilli; Caryophanales; Bacillaceae
Also listed under: 6 other names
Description: bacterial SSU rRNA
Rfam family: Bacterial small subunit ribosomal RNA
Source: RNAcentral
CAGUCGAGCGAAUGGAUUAAGAGCUUGCUCUUAUGAAGUUAGCGGCGGACGGGUGAGUAACACGUGGGUAACCUGCCCAUAAGACUGGGAUAACUCCGGGAAACCGGGGCUAAUACCGGAUAACAUUUUGAACCGCAUGGUUCGAAAUUGAAAGGCGGCUUCGGCUGUCACUUAUGGAUGGACCCGCGUCGCAUUAGCUAGUUGGUGAGGUAACGGCUCACCAAGGCAACGAUGCGUAGCCGACCUGAGAGGGUGAUCGGCCACACUGGGACUGAGACACGGCCCAGACUCCUACGGGAGGCAGCAGUAGGGAAUCUUCCGCAAUGGACGAAAGUCUGACGGAGCAACGCCGCGUGAGUGAUGAAGGCUUUCGGGUCGUAAAACUCUGUUGUUAGGGAAGAACAAGUGCUAGUUGAAUAAGCUGGCACCUUGACGGUACCUAACCAGAAAGCCACGGCUAACUACGUGCCAGCAGCCGCGGUAAUACGUAGGUGGCAAGCGUUAUCCGGAAUUAUUGGGCGUAAAGCGCGCGCAGGUGGUUUCUUAAGUCUGAUGUGAAAGCCCACGGCUCAACCGUGGAGGGUCAUUGGAAA